RNAcentral lists this ribosomal RNA (764 nucleotides) under Cryoendolithus antarcticus. RNAcentral's name for it is "eukaryotic LSU rRNA". It matches the Rfam family "Eukaryotic large subunit ribosomal RNA", at positions 151 to 940 of the family's 3401-position model. The record is from RNAcentral. Lineage: Eukaryota; Fungi; Ascomycota; Dothideomycetes; Cladosporiales; Cladosporiaceae.
GUAGAGGAUGAUUCUGGGCAGCCACCGGUCUAAGUUCCUUGGAACAGGACGUCACAGAGGGUGAGAAUCCCGUAUGCGACCGGAAGGGCACCCUACACGUAUCUCCUUCGACGAGUCGAGUUGUUUGGGAAUGCAGCUCUAAAUGGGAGGUAAAUUUCUUCUAAAGCUAAAUACCGGCCAGAGACCGAUAGCGCACAAGUAGAGUGAUCGAAAGAUGAAAAGCACUUUGGAAAGAGAGUUAAAAAGCACGUGAAAUUGUUGAAAGGGAAGCGCUUGCAACCAGACUUGCUCGCGGUGUUCCGCCGGUCAUACGGCCGGUUCACUCGCCGCGUUGCAGGCCAGCAUCGUCUGGGGCCGUCGGAUAAGACUCUGGGAAUGUAGCUCCCCUCGGGGAGUGUUAUAGCCCACUGUGAUGCGACGCGUCCCGGGCGAGGUCCGCGCUUCGGCUAGGAUGCUGGCGUAAUGGUUGUAAGCGGCCCGUCUUGAAACACGGACCAAGGAGUCUAACAUCUAUGCGAGUGUUCGGGUGUCAAACCCCUACGCGUAAUGAAAGUGAACGGAGGUGGGAACUUUAUUGUGCACCAUCGACCGAUCCUGAUGUCUUCGGAUGGAUUUGAGUAAGAGCAUAGCUGUUGGGACCCGAAAGAUGGUGAACUAUGCCUGAAUAGGGUGAAGCCAGAGGAAACUCUGGUGGAGGCUCGCAGCGGUUCUGACGUGCAAAUCGAUCGUCAAAUUUGGGUAUAGGGGCGAAAGACUAAUCGAAC